RNAcentral lists this long non-coding RNA (1159 nucleotides) under Numida meleagris (helmeted guineafowl). RNAcentral's name for it is "lncRNA (ENSNMEG00000000738.1)". The record is from RNAcentral. Lineage: Eukaryota; Metazoa; Chordata; Aves; Galliformes; Numididae.
CUCAAAAAUUCUUAAAGAACUGGUUCAAGAAAAUCUUUGCAUUACAGCAAAAACUAUUUAUGAAUCAGCUCAUGCUACAGAAAUAUUGCCUAAGAAACAAAAAAUAUUUAAUAUGAAAGGAAGACAAACUCAUCUGUUGGUGAUAUCAUGAAGUAGGGAAAGUGAGAUUUUGAUUAUUUGCAUGAUAAGUCUAGUACUGGAAUUUACCUUUUUUUUUUUUAAACAAAGAGUUCUAUCAGAAGAAAGUUCCGUUCUCCUUAGCAACUCUAUCUGAAAAUAACUGUGUUAUGAAUAAAAGACUAUAUUCUUCUGAAGAGAAAGAAAGCCUGUCGUAUCCCAUGCAGAUGUGUUAUUACAGCUGACACUUCUCCAUAUUACAGCAACUCAAGACUUUUUUUUUUCAGGAAAAUAUAAAAGUAAGAUUGAAUGAUUAUUCUGGAGACAGGAAAAAAGAGAAAGAAGCUGACUUUUUGCAUAGCGCCUGGCACAGCGACUGCUCUGUUGGCCCCAUACUAGCUGGAGGAACCCAGAGGUCUCAUGGGCAGCAGCAGGACCAGCCACAAUGGGCACCAUCUCAUUAAGUUCAACUAUCUCAUCCGUUCCUUAGCAACCAUGCAAAUACCACAAUAACCCUAGGUGGUAUCAGCUGCUCCAUUUGACAUACCUCAGAAGGUUAACAACUUACUGCCCAGGAAGGUUAACAGCAUACCCAGCCUGCAUGAACAUCAAAUAAUUGUCAAUCCAUUGACAAGAAAUAAUUACUAGAGAAUUCUUUACUUAUGCAUGUGAGUUACAUCAGCCACAAGAUGCUUCACUGUAUUUUCACGAUGACAAAAUAGCCAGCAAAGCACAUUGCAUUUACUCUUUGUAUAAAAUCUUGAUAAGCCCACAUUGCAGAUACAUAGGAAUAGGUUUCAAAUUGUAUGUCUGUACUUCAAUAUAUAACUUCAUCAUGAACUAAAAAGUAUUGAAUUAUAUUUUUAAAAUAUAAAUUGCAUUUAAUUGAAAAAAACCUCUCUUUUAAAUGUGUGUAAUUAAUACAAACAAAAAUAUUUCUACUAUGGGAACCUAUAAAAGCUAAGGACUAAAGACAAAUCUAUCUGCUUCUGCUCCAAAAGCUGAUAAUAAACACAAGCACCUAGAUACUGUAGUAUGAUAA